CCUACGGGAGGCAGCAGUGGGGAAUAUUGCACAAUGGGGGAAACCCUGAUGCAGCGACGCCGCGUGAGUGAGGAAGUAUUUCGGUAUGUAAAGCUCUAUCAGCAGGGAAGAAAAUGACGGUACCUGACUAAGAAGCCCCGGCUAACUACGUGCCAGCAGCCGCGGUAAUACGUAGGGGGCAAGCGUUAUCCGGAAUUACUGGGUGUAAAGGGAGCGUAGACGGUGAUGCAAGUCCGGAGUGAAAGGCGGGGGCCCAACCCCCGGACUGCUCUGGAAACUGUGUAACUUGAGUGCAGGAGAGGUAA
This 305-nucleotide ribosomal RNA is filed under the name uncultured bacterium. Its description in RNAcentral is "bacterial SSU rRNA". It matches the Rfam family "Bacterial small subunit ribosomal RNA", at positions 338 to 660 of the family's 1533-position model. The record is from RNAcentral.